This 255-nucleotide ribosomal RNA is filed under the name uncultured bacterium. Its description in RNAcentral is "partial 16S ribosomal RNA". It matches the Rfam family "Bacterial small subunit ribosomal RNA", at positions 524 to 776 of the family's 1533-position model. The record is from RNAcentral.
UACGAAGGGGGCUAGCGUUGCUCGGAAUCACUGGGCGUAAAGGGUGCGUAGGCGGGUCUUUAAGUCAGGGGUGAAAUCCUGGAGCUCAACUCCAGAACUGCCUUUGAUACUGAGGAUCUUGAGUUCGGGAGAGGUGAGUGGAACUGCGAGUGUAGAGGUGAAAUUCGUAGAUAUUCGCAAGAACACCAGUGGCGAAGGCGGCUCACUGGCCCGAUACUGACGGCUGAGGCACGAAAGCGUGGGGGAGCAAACAGG